Molecule: ribosomal RNA, 449 nt
Filed under: uncultured bacterium
Lineage: Bacteria
Description: partial 16S ribosomal RNA
Rfam family: Bacterial small subunit ribosomal RNA
Source: RNAcentral
AACGAACGCUGGCGGCAGGCCUAACACAUGCAAGUCGAACGAAGUCUUCGGACUUAGUGGCGCACGGGUGAGUAACACGUGGGAAUAUACCUUACGCUGGGGGAUAACAUCGGGAAACUGAUGCUAAUACCGCAUACGCCCUUCGGGGGAAAGAUUUAUCGGCGAAAGAUUAGCCCGCGUCCGAUUAGCUAGUUGGUGAGGUAAUGGCUCACCAAGGCUCCGAUCGGUAGCUGGUCUGAGAGGAUGACCAGCCACACUGGGACUGAGACACGGCCCAGACUCCUACGGGAGGCAGCAGUGGGGAAUAUUGGACAAUGGGCGCAAGCCUGAUCCAGCCAUGCCGCGUGAGUGAUGAAGGCCUUAGGGUUGUAAAGCUCUUUCACCCACGACGAUGAUGACGGUAGUGGGAGAAGAAGCCCCGGCUAACUUCGUGCCAGCCGCCGCAGUAA